AUACCGGAUAAUAUUUUGAACCGCAUGGUUCAAAAGUGAAAGACGGUCUUGCUGUCACUUAUAGAUGGAUCCGCGCUGCAUUAGCUAGUUGGUAAGGUAACGGCUUACCAAGGCAACGAUGCAUAGCCGACCUGAGAGGGUGAUCGGCCACACUGGAACUGAGACACGGUCCAGACUCCUACGGGAGGCAGCAGUAGGGAAUCUUCCGCAAUGGGCGAAAGCCUGACGGAGCAACGCCGCGUGAGUGAUGAAGGUCUUCGGAUCGUAAAACUCUGUUAUUAGGGAAGAACAUAUGUGUAAGUAACUGUGCACAUCUUGACGGUACCUAAUCAGAAAGCCACGGCUAACUACGUGCCAGCAGCCGCGGUAAUACGUAGGUGGCAAGCGUUAUCCGGAAUUAUUGGGCGUAAAGCGCGCGUAGGCGGUUUUUUAAGUCUGAUGUGAAAGCCCACGGCUCAACCGUGGAGGGUCAUUGGAAACUGGAAAACUUGAGUGCAGAAGAGGAAAGUGGAAUUCCAUGUGUAGCGGUGAAAUGCGCAGAGAUAUGGAGGAACACCAGUGGCGAAGGCGA
RNAcentral lists this ribosomal RNA (571 nucleotides) under Staphylococcus aureus. Its description in RNAcentral is "bacterial SSU rRNA". It matches the Rfam family "Bacterial small subunit ribosomal RNA", at positions 166 to 724 of the family's 1533-position model. The record is from RNAcentral. Lineage: Bacteria; Bacillati; Bacillota; Bacilli; Caryophanales; Staphylococcaceae.